AGCGAACGCUGGCGGCAGGCCUAACACAUGCAAGUCGAACGGAUCCUUCGGGAUUAGUGGCGGACGGGUGAGUAACACGUGGGAACGUGCCCUUUGGUUCGGAACAACUCAGGGAAACUUGAGCUAAUACCGGAUAAGCCCUUCGGGGGGAAAGAUUUAUCGCCAUUGGAGCGGCCCGCGUAGGAUUAGCUAGUUGGUGG
RNAcentral lists this ribosomal RNA (200 nucleotides) under uncultured bacterium. RNAcentral's name for it is "partial 16S ribosomal RNA". It matches the Rfam family "Bacterial small subunit ribosomal RNA", at positions 29 to 255 of the family's 1533-position model. The record is from RNAcentral.